This 766-nucleotide ribosomal RNA is filed under the name uncultured Streptococcus sp. Its description in RNAcentral is "bacterial SSU rRNA". It matches the Rfam family "Bacterial small subunit ribosomal RNA", at positions 28 to 776 of the family's 1533-position model. The record is from RNAcentral. Lineage: Bacteria; Bacillati; Bacillota; Bacilli; Lactobacillales; Streptococcaceae.
GACGAACGCUGGCGGCGUGCCUAAUACAUGCAAGUAGAACGCUGAAGAGAGGAGCUUGCUCUUCUUGGAAGAGUUGCGAACGGGUGAGUAACGCGUAGGUAACCUGCCUUGUAGCGGGGGAUAACUAUUGGAAACGAUAGCUAAUACCGCAUAACAAUGGGUGACCCAUGUCAUUCAUUUGAAAGGGGCAACUGCUCCACUACAAGAUGGACCUGCGUUGUAUUAGCUAGUAGGUGAGGUAACGGCUCACCUAGGCGACGAUACAUAGCCGACCUGAGAGGGUGAUCGGCCACACUGGGACUGAGACACGGCCCAGACUCCUACGGGAGGCAGCAGUAGGGAAUCUUCGGCAAUGGGGGCAACCCUGACCGAGCAACGCCGCGUGAGUGAAGAAGGUUUUCGGAUCGUAAAGCUCUGUUGUAAGUCAAGAACGAGUGUGAGAGUGGAAAGUUCACACUGUGACGGUAGCUUACCAGAAAGGGACGGCUAACUACGUGCCAGCAGCCGCGGUAAUACGUAGGUCCCGAGCGUUGUCCGGAUUUAUUGGGCGUAAAGCGAGCGCAGGCGGUUUGAUAAGUCUGAAGUUAAAGGCUGUGGCUCAACCAUAGUUCGCUUUGGAAACUGUCAAACUUGAGUGCAGAAGGGGAGAGUGGAAUUCCAUGUGUAGCGGUGAAAUGCGUAGAUAUAUGGAGGAACACCGGUGGCGAAAGCGGCUCUCUGGUCUGUAACUGACGCUGAGGCUCGAAAAGCGUGGGGAGCAAACAGG